AACGAACGCUGGCGGCAUGCCUAACACAUGCAAGUCGAACGAGAUCUUCGGAUCUAGUGGCGCACGGGUGCGUAACGCGUGGGAAUCUGCCCUUUGGUUCGGAAUAACAGUUGGAAACGACUGCUAAGACCAGAUGAUGACGUAAGUCCAAAGAUUUAUCGCCAGAGGAUGAGCCCGCGUAGGAUUAGCUAGUUGGUGUGGUAAGAGCGCACCAAGGCGACGAUCCUUAGCUGGUCUGAGAGGAUGAUCAGCCACACUGGGACUGAGACACGGCCCAGACUCCUACGGGAGGCAGCAGUGGGGAAUAUUGGACAAUGGGCGAAAGCCUGAUCCAGCAAUGCCGCGUGAGUGAUGAAGGCCUUAGGGUUGUAAAGCUCUUUUACCCGGGAUGAUAAUGACAGUACCGGGAGAAUAAGCUCCGGCUAACUCCGUGCCAGCAGCCGCUGUAA
This 449-nucleotide ribosomal RNA is filed under the name uncultured bacterium. RNAcentral's name for it is "partial 16S ribosomal RNA". It matches the Rfam family "Bacterial small subunit ribosomal RNA", at positions 29 to 523 of the family's 1533-position model. The record is from RNAcentral.